UGGUGAAAUUUGUAGAUUGGA
RNAcentral lists this microRNA (21 nucleotides) under Oryza sativa (Asian cultivated rice). RNAcentral describes it as "osa-miR1854-5p". Lineage: Eukaryota; Viridiplantae; Streptophyta; Magnoliopsida; Poales; Poaceae. The record is from miRBase by way of RNAcentral.